UUUCAUCAAAGGGUAAAUGAGCAGCGUCCACAGCAUUUUUUAUCAAUGUCUUUUCAUCAAUACUGUCCGGGUGUUGAAUUUGCAAUGGUGAUGAUGGAGGGGGCACAGAAGUUAAUAAGUAAAGGUUUUGUGUGGCUUUCUUAAAUUGACAUCUCUCUUUUUGGGGACUUACAUUUGGCACACUUGGAUUUCCUGGUUGAAAGGGGUACUCUUUUGAAGGAUCCAGCUUGAAGGAGUAUUUUUGAUCAAUGACAUUGAGUUGCAGCCCACUGAAGAAAAUAAAGUCCAACCCCAAGACUACAGCAUAGGCUAGAGCUUGGGAUGAAAGUACAGCAGUAGAUAAAGAGGACCACGGCACCACGGUUGCAGCUGGUCGGGGGAUGUAAGCUGCCUCAUGAGAUUCUCAUGGAUGAGUGUGUAGCUUGCACCAGUGUCCACAAUGACUUUACCUGACCAGGCAUCGAUACAAAGCGGAACAACUAGUUGUUGAGCAACAGAGUUGUUGGACGGAUGACCAACUGACUUGGGGUGAUAAGGUUGUUUGCCGCUGGUGGAAUACUGUGGACCAGACGUCUGAGGUGACUGGGGAGAGGUAUAGUGUGGACAUUUUCCUGGUGUUUGCUGUCCUCUACAUCUCCAGCACUGAACUGGGAUUUUCUCAGUAGUUGAUGUCCUAAUUUUACCAGAUCUUCCA
Carassius carassius (crucian carp) is the source of this 694-nucleotide long non-coding RNA. RefSeq lists it as uncharacterized. The transcript is spliced from 4 exons. The record is from RefSeq and is a predicted model, not a curated record. NCBI's taxonomy places the organism in Eukaryota, Metazoa, Chordata, Actinopteri, Cypriniformes, Cyprinidae.